RNAcentral lists this ribosomal RNA (250 nucleotides) under uncultured Desulfovibrio sp. RNAcentral describes it as "partial 16S ribosomal RNA". It matches the Rfam family "Bacterial small subunit ribosomal RNA", at positions 524 to 773 of the family's 1533-position model. The record is from RNAcentral. Lineage: Bacteria; Pseudomonadati; Thermodesulfobacteriota; Desulfovibrionia; Desulfovibrionales; Desulfovibrionaceae.
UACGGAGGGUGCGAGCGUUAAUCGGAAUCACUGGGCGUAAAGCGCACGUAGGCUGUUUUGCAAGUCAGGCGUGAAAGCCCUCGGCUCAACCGAGGAAUUGCGUUUGAAACUGCAGGACUCGAGUACUGGAGAGGGUGGCGGAAUUCCCGGUGUAGGAGUGAAAUCCGUAGAUAUCGGGAGGAACACCAGUGGCGAAGGCGGCCACCUGGACAGAUACUGACGCUGAGGUGCGAAAGCGUGGGGAGCAAAC